GACGAACGCUGGCGGCGUGCUUAACACAUGCAAGUCGAACGGAAAGGCCCUGCUUUUGUGGGGUGCUCGAGUGGCGAACGGGUGCGUAACACGUGAGUAACCUGCCCUUGACUUUGGUAUAACUUCAGGUAACUGGGGCUACUACCGGAUAGGAGCUCCUGCUGCAUGGUGGGGGUUGGAAAGUUUCGGCGGUUGGGGAUGGACUCGCGGCUUAUCAGCUUGUUGGUGGGGUAGUGGCUUACCAAGGCUUUGACGGGUAGCCGGCCUGAGAGGGUGACCGGCCACAUUGGGACUGAGAGACGGCCCAGACUCCUACGGGAGGCAGCAGUGGGGAAUAUUGCACAAUGGGCGGAAGCCUGAUGCAGCAACGCCGCGGGCGGGAUGACGGCCUUCGGGUUGUAAACCGCUUUCGCCUGUGACGAAGCGUGAGUGACGGUAAUGGGUAAAGAAGCACCGGCUAACUACGUG
Molecule: ribosomal RNA, 468 nt
Filed under: uncultured bacterium
Lineage: Bacteria
Description: partial 16S ribosomal RNA
Rfam family: Bacterial small subunit ribosomal RNA
Source: RNAcentral